CAGUAGCCGCGGUAAAACAGAGGGUGCAAGCGUUAAUCGGAAUUACUGGGCGUAAAGCGCGCGUAGGUGGUUUGUUAAGUUGGAUGUGAAAUCCCCGGGCUCAACCUGGGAACUGCAUCCAAAACUGGCAAGCUAGAGUAUGGUAGAGGGUGGUGGAAUUUCCUGUGUAGCGGUGAAAUGCGUAGAUAUAGGAAGGAACACCAGUGGCGAAGGCGACCACCUGGACUGAUACUGACACUGAGGUGCGAAAGCGUGGGGAGCAAACAGGAUUAGAUACCCCAGUAGUCCCUGUCUCUUAUAA
RNAcentral lists this ribosomal RNA (301 nucleotides) under uncultured bacterium. RNAcentral describes it as "partial 16S ribosomal RNA". It matches the Rfam family "Bacterial small subunit ribosomal RNA", at positions 509 to 809 of the family's 1533-position model. The record is from RNAcentral.